This 366-nucleotide ribosomal RNA is filed under the name uncultured bacterium. RNAcentral describes it as "partial 16S ribosomal RNA". It matches the Rfam family "Bacterial small subunit ribosomal RNA", at positions 338 to 721 of the family's 1533-position model. The record is from RNAcentral.
CCUACGGGAGGCAGCAGUAGGGAAUAUUUCUCAAUGGGCGAAACCCUGAAGCAGCAACGCCGCGUGCAGGAUGAAGGUUUUCGGAUUGUAAACUCCUUUUGUUAGAGAAGAUAAUGACGGUAUCUUACGAAUAAGCACCGGCUAACACGGUGCCAGCAUCCGCGGUAAUACGGAGUGUGCGAGCUUUACUCGGAAUCACUGGGCGUAGAGAGCGCGUCGGAGGGAGAGCAAUACAGAUGUGGAAUCCUAGGGCUUAACCAUAGAACUGUAUUUGAAACUGUUAUUAUAGAGUAUGUGAGAGGUAGGUGGAAUUCUUGGUGUAGGAGUAAAAGCCGGAGAGAUCAGGAGGAAUACUCAGUGCGAAGG